UUUCGGUUUUCAACCCAAUCCAGUGUUUACAUGCUCUCGCGAUCGUAUUAGAAAAUCUCAUUCGGAUCGAUUAACUUGUUUACAUGAAGGUUUUUCAGUCCGAUUACUAACGGGUUAUUUGGUAGCAUGUAAACGUGUUUGAGUGAACGCCACCGUCGUUCUGCUGUUUCUCCGACUCUCAGGAUCCGUUCAGCUGAAUGAUUAGUUUGUCAUUUCCACCCAGAGUAAGUGUUGGAGAUCUCACUCUUCUGUCUGUUCAGCUGCAUCAUGGGAGACACACGAACACCCCGAGAUCAAGAGCUUUCUCCAGGAUGCAGUUCAGUUCAUCAGAAGAGAUCAGAACCAGAGCCCAGCUGUGUGUUUAUGAAGAGUGACGAGUCUAUAGAUCAUACACAACAUUUCAGUUCAGUUCACCAGAAGAAGUCAGAACCAGAGCCCAGCUGUGUGUCUAUGAGGAGUGACGCUUCUUUGGAUCCUCCAGUUAAUUUUAAGAGAGAUGACACGCGGUUCAACCUCAAGUAUUAUAUUUUUGUAAAAGAUUUGAUUAUAGUAGAAUAUUAUAAAUUAAACUGUCGUAAUUA
This is a long non-coding RNA of Sinocyclocheilus rhinocerous, 581 nucleotides long. RefSeq lists it as uncharacterized. NCBI's taxonomy places the organism in Eukaryota, Metazoa, Chordata, Actinopteri, Cypriniformes, Cyprinidae. The record is from RefSeq and is a predicted model, not a curated record. The transcript is spliced from 3 exons.